This 366-nucleotide ribosomal RNA is filed under the name Calacarus sp. FJ17. Its description in RNAcentral is "partial small subunit ribosomal RNA". The record is from RNAcentral. Lineage: Eukaryota; Metazoa; Arthropoda; Arachnida; Trombidiformes; Eriophyidae.
CUUAAUUUUUUAUAAGAGUGACGGGCGAUUUGUGCAUUGAUCUUUUUUUAUCCAUUCUUCAAUAUAUUUUUAAAGAAUUAAUAACGAGUUCUAAUCUCCAUUGGUUUGGAGCAAAAGAUUAAUAUUAUUAAUAAUGUUCCAUAAACUUCUUUUUUGUAAUUCUUGUCUUGAUUUGGGGUUUUAUAAGUUAUCAUAUUUGUUUAGGUAUUACACAUUUUCAACUAAAAGCAAUGAUAUAAGGAAUAAUUAAAAAAGAACUAUUAAACGUGGGUUAUCUAUUAGGUAACAGAACCCCCCGACAAUGAGAUCAACCGCCAUGUUGUUUAGGUUUAGUUUAACUAACUACUACCUAAGAUUUUUAUAAAG